This 98-nucleotide signal recognition particle RNA is filed under the name Gemmatimonadota bacterium. RNAcentral describes it as "signal recognition particle sRNA small type". It matches the Rfam family "Bacterial small signal recognition particle RNA". From Rfam's summary of the family: The signal recognition particle (SRP) is a universally conserved ribonucleoprotein involved in the co-translational targeting of proteins to membranes. Lineage: Bacteria; Pseudomonadati; Gemmatimonadota. The record is from RNAcentral.
CUCCCGGGCCCGUGGGGCCGGCGGGCGUGAACCCCGUCAGGACCGUGAAGGUAGCAGCGGUAAGCGCGCAAAGGUCGCCGCGGUCCGCCCGGGAGGUU